Long non-coding RNA from Ficedula albicollis (Collared flycatcher), 364 nucleotides. RefSeq lists it as uncharacterized. The record is from RefSeq and is a predicted model, not a curated record. NCBI's taxonomy places the organism in Eukaryota, Metazoa, Chordata, Aves, Passeriformes, Muscicapidae. The transcript is spliced from 3 exons.
CUGAGGUUACAUUCCUUGUUAUGAUGCUGGGAAAAGAUGAGAGGAGAAAAAUAUGGAUGAAGAGGACAACAAAAAUGCAAAGGAGCAGAGAUGACAGAUACAGCAAAGAAUCUGCAACAAGUUUGUCAGGUCACCUUAAAUGGGAACUAAGCAUGAAACCUGACAGCGGAGUGUGCAGAGAUGAAAUGCUCCUGGAUGACUCCGUGGUGGUUUUGGUUGCUGUGGUGAUUAUCCAUCUGUUUAAAUCCUUCAUAUGGGAGAUUCACAACUCAUUUAUCAUGUUCCCUUCUCCAUGGCACGCUGUGGCAGAUCCUCUUGGGCUUUGAAGUAACUCAGGAAAGGGAGUGACACAUCUGCCUUUCCA